CUGCUGAAGCACAUACUAAUUAUGUGGAGUUUUUCGAACUGCCAGCUAUAAAGGUCAGGGAAGAAUAGCGCAACAUGGAUUCAUAAACCCACGGUGGGUGGAUGGUGAGCUAUUGGUACUCAAUGGCAAGGCAAUGUGUGCCAUGAUGAGAGCAACACAAGUAAUGGUUG
Molecule: long non-coding RNA, 170 nt
Organism: Triticum dicoccoides
Lineage: Eukaryota; Viridiplantae; Streptophyta; Magnoliopsida; Poales; Poaceae
Exons: 3
Source: RefSeq, a predicted model, not a curated record